Molecule: ribosomal RNA, 253 nt
Filed under: uncultured bacterium
Lineage: Bacteria
Description: partial 16S ribosomal RNA
Rfam family: Bacterial small subunit ribosomal RNA
Source: RNAcentral
UACGUAGGAUGCAAGCGUUGUCCGGAAUUAUUGGGCGUAAAGAGCGCGCAGGCGGUAUGACAAGUCAGAUGUGAAAGAGGCCGGCUUAACCGGCAAGGGUCAUUUGAAACUGUCAGACUAGAGUGCAGCAGAGGAUAGUGGAAUUCCCGGUGUAGUGGUGAAAUGCGUAGAUAUCGGGAGGAACACCAGUGGCGAAGGCGACUAUCUGGGCUGCAACUGACGCUGAGGCGCGAAGGCGUGGGGAGCAAACAGG